AUUGAACGCUGGCGGCAGGCCUAACACAUGCAAGUCGAGCGGAUGAAGGGAGCUUGCUCCUGGAUUCAGCGGCGGACGGGUGAGUAAUGCCUAGGAAUCUGCCUGGUAGUGGGGGAUAACGUCCGGAAACGGGCGCUAAUACCGCAUACGUCCUGAGGGAGAAAGUGGGGGAUCUUCGGACCUCACGCCAUCAGAUGAGCCUAGGUCGGAUUAGCUAGUUGGUGGGGUAAAGGCCUACAAAGGCGACGAUCCGUAACUGGUCUGAGAGGAUGAUCAGUCACACUGGAACUGAGACACGGUCCAGACUCCUACGGGAGGCAGCAGUGGGGAAUAUUGGACAAUGGGCGAAAGCCUGAUCCAGCCAUGCCGCGUGUGUGAAGAAGGUCUUCGGAUUGUAAAGCACUUUAAGUUGGGAGGAAGGGCAGUAAGUUAAUACCUUGCUGUUUUGACGUUACCAACAGAAUAAGCACCGGCUAACUUCGUG
This 484-nucleotide ribosomal RNA is filed under the name uncultured bacterium. Its description in RNAcentral is "partial 16S ribosomal RNA". It matches the Rfam family "Bacterial small subunit ribosomal RNA", at positions 30 to 507 of the family's 1533-position model. The record is from RNAcentral.